GAUGAACGCUGGCGGCGUGCCUAAUACAUGCAAGUCGAGCGGAAGGACGAGACGCUUGCUUCUUUCACGUUAGCCGCGGACGGGAGUGUCACACGUGUAUACCCUCCCUAUAAGUCUGGGAUAACCUCGGGAAACCGGCGCUAAUCCCGGAUAAUAUCUUGCACCGCAUGGUUCAAAGGUGAGAGACGGUGUUGCUGGAUCUACUCGCUGGUUACGGGCUGCAUUAGCUGGUUGGUAAGGUAACAGCCUACCAAGGCAACGAUGCCUAGCCGACCGGUGGGGGUGGUCGGCCACACGGGAACUGAGACGCGGACCAGACUCCUACGGGAGGCAGCAGUAGGGAAUCUUCGGCAGUGGGCGGAAGCCUGACAGAGCAACGCCGCGUGAGUGAUGAAAGUCUUCGGAUCGUAAAACUCUGUUAUUAGGGAAGAACAGAUGUGUAAGUAACUGUGCAGUGCGUGACGGUACCGGAUCAGAAAGCCACGGCUAACUACGUG
This 497-nucleotide ribosomal RNA is filed under the name uncultured bacterium. RNAcentral's name for it is "partial 16S ribosomal RNA". It matches the Rfam family "Bacterial small subunit ribosomal RNA", at positions 28 to 507 of the family's 1533-position model. The record is from RNAcentral.